AGAUAGCUGGUUCUCCCCGAAAGCUAUUUAGGUAGCGCCUCGUGAAUUCAUCUCCGGGGGUAGAGCACUGUUUCGGCUAGGGGGCCAUCCCGGCUUACCAACCCGAUGCAAACUGCGAAUACCGGAGAAUGUUAUCACGGGAGACACACGGCGGGUGCUAACGUCCGUCGUGAAGAGGGAAACAACCCAGACCGCCAGCUAAGGUCCCAAAGUCAUGGUUAAGUGGGAAACGAUGUGGGAAGGCCCAGACAGCCAGGAUGUUGGCUUAGAAGCAGCCAUCAUUUAAAGAAAGCGUAAUAGCUCACUGGUCGAGUCGGCCUGCGCGGAAGAUGUAACGGGGCUAAACCAU
This 349-nucleotide ribosomal RNA is filed under the name Salmonella enterica. RNAcentral's name for it is "partial 23S ribosomal RNA". It matches the Rfam family "Bacterial large subunit ribosomal RNA", at positions 843 to 1190 of the family's 2925-position model. RNAcentral also lists the same sequence under 2 other names. Lineage: Bacteria; Pseudomonadati; Pseudomonadota; Gammaproteobacteria; Enterobacterales; Enterobacteriaceae. The record is from RNAcentral.